AACGAAACGCCAAAAAGUGGCAGCUCCCCCUCCUCCUCCGGAUGCACCACAGAUGGAAGAAUCCCAGCAGGAAGAGCCUCAAACAGAAAGUACAUCAGUUGAUGUGGGUGAACAAGCAACUGGUCCGGUGGGUCCAAUUAUAUCACCGGCGGCUCUCCCGAUUCAGACAACCGUUGUUCCCCCUCCAGCCGAUCAACCUGCAGUUCCAUCGGCAUCUUUGGCCGGUCAGUCCGCAGCUCCGUCAGCAC
Molecule: long non-coding RNA, 248 nt
Organism: Sorghum bicolor (sorghum)
Lineage: Eukaryota; Viridiplantae; Streptophyta; Magnoliopsida; Poales; Poaceae
Exons: 3
Source: RefSeq, a predicted model, not a curated record